This 401-nucleotide ribosomal RNA is filed under the name uncultured bacterium. RNAcentral's name for it is "bacterial SSU rRNA". It matches the Rfam family "Bacterial small subunit ribosomal RNA", at positions 32 to 409 of the family's 1533-position model. The record is from RNAcentral.
AAUCAACGCUGGCGGCGUGCCUCAGACAUGCAAGUCGAACGCGAAAGUCCCCCUUCGGGGGGACAAGUAGAGUGGCGCACGGGUGAGUAACACGUAGGUAAUCUACCUUUGGAUGGGGAAUAACAACCGGAAACGGUUGCUAAUACCGCAUAAUGCAGCGGCACCUAAUGGUGACAGUUGUUAAAGCGGGGGGAUCGAAAGACCUCGCGUCUGAAGAGGAGCCUGCGGCGGAUUAGCUAGUGGUAAGGUAAUGGCUUACCAAGGCUACGAUCCGUAACCGGCCUGAGAGGGGCGGUCGGUCACACUGACACUGACAUACGGGUCAGACUCCUACGGGAGGCAGCAGUCGGGAAUUUUGGGCAAUGGGCGAAAGCCUGACCCAGCAACGCCGCGUGAAGGAU